This 284-nucleotide ribosomal RNA is filed under the name Bacillus aerophilus. RNAcentral describes it as "partial 16S ribosomal RNA". It matches the Rfam family "Bacterial small subunit ribosomal RNA", at positions 1086 to 1371 of the family's 1533-position model. The record is from RNAcentral. Lineage: Bacteria; Bacillati; Bacillota; Bacilli; Caryophanales; Bacillaceae.
CCCGCAACGAGCGCAACCCUUGAUCUUAGUUGCCAGCAUUUAGUUGGGCACUCUAAGGUGACUGCCGGUGACAAACCGGAGGAAGGUGGGGAUGACGUCAAAUCAUCAUGCCCCUUAUGACCUGGGCUACACACGUGCUACAAUGGACAGAACAAAGGGCUGCGAGACCGCAAGGUUUAGCCAAUCCCACAAAUCUGUUCUCAGUUCGGAUCGCAGUCUGCAACUCGACUGCGUGAAGCUGGAAUCGCUAGUAAUCGCGGAUCAGCAUGCCGCGGUGAAUACGU